UCAUGAAACGGAUUCGUCACAAAAAAGCUGGAUACCGAAACCAGCAGCAUACAAGCAUAAACUUUUGCCAACACACGUUACGUCCACUUUAUUGGAUGAUAUUUUGCAACGAAACUAAAAAGGCAAAAUAGUAUGGGAUGGUGUUCGGUUGCCGGCAGUGUUCGACACCCCACCGUAACUUUUGACAGAAAGCAGAUAGCGUCAAUCUGACAAAUGUCAUGUGUGUGUAAUAGCAGCACGUUCUUUUUGUGCCGAAUUGCGAAGCAAACAGUCACUUGUACUUUUUGCUGCGUUCAAAAUAACUUAAUUACGUGAAUAUUAACACAAAAGUUUUUUCUGACUAUUUUUAGAGUAUCAUGAAUUGCAGAGCAUCAAUCGGAAAGGAGACCUAUUUUAAUCCACGAGAUAGUACGGUUAACAAGACAAAUCCAUCCGGAUUGAUCUACGAUCGUUUCCACAACCGCAACAAGAAAGCAUUGGUCAAGUCCAAAAUUACAGUUAUUACUUCUUUGCAAGCUCUACGGAAUAAGGCAUUGGAACUUCCAUUCGAUGAUAUCGAGAAACGAAUGUCCCACAAAAACUGGUUGCGGAACAAAUCCGAACCAAAUGAACAAAUUGUACAACACUGGAAAGACUCCUUCUUACUACGCGUCAGAGAUAUCCAUGGAGACAAGGAAGUAAACAAAAAAAAAUUUAUCACAGAAUGGUCCAGACCAAUGAACAAAAACGAAUAAUUGCUGGUAGACUUAGAUUUUGAUUCGAUUCAUGAACGAUCGGGAGAACGACACAAACUGGUUGAUAACUGGGAACAGUUUACUGUUGGUUUUAGACAGUACAUUUUGCUGAAUGACUAAAGAGAUGAUCUCUCUCGGAUGCUUGUAUUACAUUUGAAUGAUCCAGAUUUGCCUCAAAACGCUCGCGAUGUACAGUUUUUCACGCUGUGCUGGGUUUGCGACUCCCUGCAGGAAUACUCGAAAGCGAUAAGUGACCUUAGGGGCGAGUUUGAAUCCCGUAAUAUUCCCUUCACACCAAGAAUAUACGCAAUUGAAAAACCUAGAUUGCUAGAAUCGUUCUACGUAGUUACAAGCUUACUAGAGUAUCAGCUACCUUCCUUCCUGCGUUGUAUAGAUGUGAUUGUAAAACUGAAUUGCGUCUUGAAUUUCGAAUAUCCGGAGAGUUGUGAACUUUUUUGGGGUUUUGUUAACCUGUAUUUCUACGACAUCAAGUACAUUCGAAAAUCAAAAAACAACAAAUUACUACAACUGUUUGCAUAUUUGAAUAAACGGAAAAAUGAACUUUGUUGAUUGUAUCCAAAAAAUUCCGCAUAAUGUGCACUCUCCCUUACAACAAUUCUAUAAAGCGCACAAUAAUCUGGACUCAGAGCACAGGAAGUUUUUAGCUCAUACUAUUGUAGACUUUUACAUCACAAAUAACGAUUUGCUGAACUGAUCUCGGGACGAUUUCUUUCAGAUUUCAGUAACUACGAUUUCUUUCAGAUUUCAGAUACCUAUUUUAAUCCACGAGAUAGUACGGUUAACAAGACAAAUCCAUCCGGAUUGAUCUACGAUCGUUUCCACAACCGCAACAAGAAAGCAUUGGUCAAGUCCAAAAUUACAGUUAUUACUUCUUUGCAAGCUCUACGGAAUAAGGCAUUGGAACUUCCAUUCGAUGAUAUCGAGAAACGAAUGUCCCACAAAAACUGGUUGCGGAACAAAUCCGAACCAAAUGAACAAAUUGUACAACACUGGAAAGACUCCUUCUUACUACGCGUCAGAGAUAUCCAUGGAGACAAGGAAGUAAACAAAAAAAAAAGUUUAUCACAGAAUGGUCCAGACCAAUGAACAAAAACGGAUAAUUGCUGGUAGACUUAGGUUUUGAUUCGAUUCAUGAACGAUCGGGAGAACGACACAAACUGGUUGAUAACUGGGAACAGUUUACUGUUGGUUUUAGACAGUACAUUUUGCUGAAUAACUAAAGAGAUGAUCUCUCUCGGAUGCUUGUAUUACAUUUGAAUGAUCCAGAUUUGCCUCAAAACGCUCGCGAUGUACAGUUUUCACGCUGUGCUGGGUUUGCGACUCCCUGCAGGAAUACUCGAAAGCGAUAAGUGACCUUAGGGGCGAGUUUGAAUCCCGUAAUAUUCCCUUCACACCAAGAAUAUACGCAAUUGAAAAACCUAAAUUGCUAGAAUCGUUCUACGUAGUUACAAGCUUACUAGAGUAUCAGCUACCUUCCUUCCUGCGUUGUAUAGAUGUGAUUGUAAAACUGAAUUGCGUCUUGAAUUUCGAAUAUCCGGAGAGUUGUGAACUUUUUUGGGGUUUUGUUAACCUGUAUUUCUACGACAUCAAGUACAUUCGAAAAUCAAAAAACAACAAAUUACUACAACUGUUUGCAUAUUUGAAUAAACGGAAAAAUGAACUGCCAACUGUGUAAGGAAUUGCAUAGCAAUUUGGAAGCCUUAUCGAUCAUUUAACUUUAACACAUGGAACACCUUCAUUUUUCAAAUAUAAUUGUACAAUAUGCCGACAACAAAUAUAUAUCGUUUCAAAUGACAUAUACGAUUACAGCAUGGUGAAGUUUUUGAUACAGUUGGCGAAGGAAGUACUUCGAACUACGAUAAAAAUGUGAACGAAAAUGUAUACGUAGAUCCUGAAGAACCCGUAGAAAGGUUAUAUAACAUACAGUCUUGUACCACUUCGAAUGAUACAGAGAGAAAUAUAGAGAAAGUUAGUGAAAAUUUUAGAUUUGAGACAGAA
Malaya genurostris is the source of this 2753-nucleotide long non-coding RNA. RefSeq lists it as uncharacterized. The transcript has 9 exons. Lineage: Eukaryota; Metazoa; Arthropoda; Insecta; Diptera; Culicidae. The record is from RefSeq and is a predicted model, not a curated record.